Molecule: long non-coding RNA, 447 nt
Organism: Larimichthys crocea (large yellow croaker)
Lineage: Eukaryota; Metazoa; Chordata; Actinopteri; Sciaenidae
Exons: 3
Source: RefSeq, a predicted model, not a curated record
GAGGAGGAGGUCGAGGAGAGGGAGGACGGAGAGUAGCAGUCCUCCUCGAAAAUAUCAUCAGGCCCAGAGGAACCCUGUCAGGAGUAACAAUUAGACAGCCGCAGCACACCGGGAGCCUGAUGUGUGACCUGAUGUUAUUAGUCCUCUGUGCUCCUACUUGUCCACCCACUCUCUCCCAGCUCUUGAAGACUUUGUCCACCGCAGAGCUCCAACUUUGUUCUUGUCAUUUAAAGCAGCGCGGUGCACCUCCCACCAACGACCCGGACCCGAACGGACCCGCCCCAAAGGGACUUUAUGAACACAGCACAGGUCUAGCUUUGAGAGGGGACUGACUUAUAUUUAUUUAGACAUCCAUACCGUCUGACCAGCAGCACCCAGGGCACCUCAGCAAGACAGCAACACUCACUGAUUAAUUCAGAGUACAUUAGAACACAGUUUCAUGGAUUA